This 443-nucleotide ribosomal RNA is filed under the name uncultured bacterium. RNAcentral describes it as "partial 16S ribosomal RNA". It matches the Rfam family "Bacterial small subunit ribosomal RNA", at positions 338 to 795 of the family's 1533-position model. The record is from RNAcentral.
CCUACGGGUGGCAGCAGUGGGGAAUAUUGGGCAAUGGGCGCAAGCCUGACCCAGCAACGCCGCGUGAAGGAAGAAGGCUUUCGGGUUGUAAACUUCUUUUAUCAGGGACGAAGCAAGUGACGGUACCUGAUGAAUAAGCCACGGCUAACUACGUGCCAGCAGCCGCGGUAAUACGUAGGCGGCAAGCGUUAUCCGGAUUUACUGGGUGUAAAGGGCGUGUAGGCGGGAGUGCAAGUCAGAUGUGAAAACUAUGGGAUCAACCCAUAGCCUGCCUUUGAAACUGUACUUCUUGAGUGCUGGUGAGGCAGUCGGAAUGCCGUGUGUAGCGGUGAAAUGCGUAGAGAUACGGAGGAACACCAGUGGCGAAGGCAGAUUGCUGGACAAUAACUGACGCUGAGGCGCGAAAGCGUGGGGAGCAAACAGGAUUAGAUACCCUUGUAGUC